GCCUAUACAUGCAGUCGAGCGAACUGAUUAGAAGCUUGCUUCUAUGACGUUAGCGGCGGACGGGUGAGUAACACGUGGGCAACCUGCCUGUAAGACUGGGAUAACUUCGGGAAACCGAAGCUAAUACCGGAUAGGAUCUUCUCCUUCAUGGGAGAUGAUUGAAAGAUGGUUUCGGCUAUCACUUACAGAUGGGCCCGCGGUGCAUUAGCUAGUUGGUGAGGUAACGGCUCACCAAGGCAACGAUGCAUAGCCGACCUGAGAGGGUGAUCGGCCACACUGGGACUGAGACACGGCCCAGACUCCUACGGGAGGCAGCAGUAGGGAAUCUUCCGCAAUGGACGAAAGUCUGACGGAGCAACGCCGCGUGAGUGAUGAAGGCUUUCGGGUCGUAAAACUCUGUUGUUAGGGAAGAACAAGUACAAGAGUAACUGCUUGUACCUUGACGGUACCUAACCAGAAAGCCACGGCUAACUACGUGCCAGCAGCCGCGGUAAUACGUAGGUGGCAAGCGUUAUCCGGAAUUAUUGGGCGUAAAGCGCGCGCAGGCGGUUUCUUAAGUCUGAUGUGAAAGCCCACGGCUCAACCGUGGAGGGUCAUUGGAAACUGGGGAACUUGAGUGCAGAAGAGAAAAGCGGAAUUCCACGUGUAGCGGUGAAAUGCGUAGAGAUGUGGAGGAACACCAGUGGCGAAGGCGGCUUUUUGGUCUGUAACUGA
Molecule: ribosomal RNA, 714 nt
Filed under: Priestia megaterium
Lineage: Bacteria; Bacillati; Bacillota; Bacilli; Caryophanales; Bacillaceae
Description: bacterial SSU rRNA
Rfam family: Bacterial small subunit ribosomal RNA
Source: RNAcentral